CCCACAGAAGAUUGAGGAUUUCAAGGAGAAGGUCAGAAAUCAUUUUUCUGAUCUCGAUCUCAAGCCCUUGGACUCGAAUGGUAAGGAAGAAGAAGUCGGCGAGGUCAGGGAUGACGAAGUACGGGUCAAGGACCUCUUCAACCCGAUUCAAGAAGCUUGGGCGGCCGAGGAUGCAACGUUGAUUCAACCUCCUACGGUGAUCGUACUUUCCAACCAUGGCGAUGCCAG
This 228-nucleotide long non-coding RNA is filed under the name Elaeis guineensis (African oil palm). RNAcentral's name for it is "long non-coding RNA (EGUI_LNC037712)". Lineage: Eukaryota; Viridiplantae; Streptophyta; Magnoliopsida; Arecales; Arecaceae. The record is from RNAcentral.